Molecule: ribosomal RNA, 471 nt
Filed under: uncultured organism
Description: partial 16S ribosomal RNA
Rfam family: Bacterial small subunit ribosomal RNA
Source: RNAcentral
ACUCCUGCGGGAGGCAGCAGUGGGGAAUAUUGCACAAUGGGCGCAAGCCUGAUGCAGCCAUGCCGAGUGUAUGAAGAAGGCCUUCGGGUUGUAAAGUACUUUCAGCGGGGAGGAAGGCGAUAAGGUUAAUAACCUUGUCGAUUGACGUUACCCGCAGAAGAAGCACCGGCUAACUCCGUGCCAGCAGCCGCGGUAAUACGGAGGGUGCAAGCGUUAAUCGGAAUUACUGGGCGUAAAGCGCACGCAGGCGGUCUGUCAAGUCGGAUGUGAAAUCCCCGGGCUCAACCUGGGAACUGCAUUCGAAACUGGCAGGCUAGAGUCUUGUAGAGGGGGGUAGAAUUCCAGGUGUAGCGGUGAAAUGCGUAGAGAUCUGGAGGAAUACCGGUGGCGAAGGCGGCCCCCUGGACAAAGACUGACGCUCAGGUGCGAAAGCGUGGGGAGCAAACAGGAUUAGAUACCCUUGUAGUCCCA